UCUGCACACACUGCUCUUCUCAUCUCCCUGCGCCACUUUGGGGCUGGUUUACAAGGCGAUUAUACUGUACAUAUCCAUCAGCAGGUGCACAUUCCUCGUGCGUACGUUGGCCACCAUCACAUACGUACAUAGCGCGCCGCCACUCCUCUUUGUGCAGUGUCUCUGCGGCAAACUCUCUGACAAGUACAGCUCAGCAGAGCAGCGCCACUCGUGUGGCGCUUGUGUGGAAGAAAAGUGUUGUUGCUCCCCCCCUCAACACUACUUGCGCUUCUUCACGAACUCUUUACGAAGGACUUUAGUACACCCCUCCACCCCCAAUUCUUCACGAUCGAGCAGUUUUACGUAAUGACCUUCUCUUUUAGCGUCAUCUCUACCACGGGGCAGCGGAUCUCCAUCUCUGUACUCGGUCCGGAUAACACUGUAGGCGACAUCAAGGCGAAACUUGAGGAGACGGAAGGCAUUCCGCAGAAGAUGAUCAUGCUGGUGCACUCUGGUCGAAAACUGGAAGACAACGCAACCCUGGAGGAGUGCAACAUACACGCUGGCGUCACAAUCAAUAUGGUGCUUGCUCUGCGUGCAGGCCGCUGAGCGUCAGCCAGGAAACCGUAUUGCUCGCUUUACGGAUGAUCGAUGGCGGCGCCCUGCAGUGUGGCAAGCCGCAAACAAGCUUCGACACAAAAGGCGGCGGACAACCCGUUGGAAUACUUAUCGACGCGCAGUGUAUGUGAGGCAGAGAGAGAGACACCACGCGGAUUUCGCGCCGCGCCCCUCCUUGCUCGACUGCGCAUCCUCGUCGCCACGUACUCUGCGCUUUUUCCUAUUCUCCUGCCAUGAUGAUGGCGACGGCAAGGCAAUAGCGCUCUGGGGGGUUUUGUCUGCGUCCGAGUAGCCGCAAGCAAUGCGGUAAGGGGCUAGGCGGAGAUUCACCUUUUUUGUUUCUCCAGUUUCUGUUCGAAAUGGAGGGAGCACAUAUGCACUUCAUUUGCUUCUUCUGUGUCAACGUCUGUGUGCUCGGUUGCGUGUACUGUAGCGGUGCACGUUUCAGGGUUUAGUGGGCCGCCCACUCAUUUUUUUGUUUUGUUUUCGUUUGCGCGUGUGUGUGUGUGUGCGUCCUCGGUGCGUGUAUGUGUCUGUGUGUGUCUCUCCCUCUGUGUAUGUAUGUUGCUGCGAUUGUUCCGAGGUGGAAAAGACGACGACCAAAGCUGAAGCGAUCGUGUAGGAGUUGGGUGCGAGCGGAAAGGUGGAAAGGGGGAGGGGUAUUGUCUUUUUCUUUCCUGCAAAGGGCGGCCUGUCGUGAUGCGGAAACUCAAAAAGAAGAAUCCGCGGUCUUUGCGAUAUUCUCAGCCCUCAGACGAAC
RNAcentral lists this unclassified non-coding RNA (1357 nucleotides) under Leishmania donovani. RNAcentral describes it as "gene:LdHU3.34.3210(CDS-product:ubiquitin-like_pro tein)". The record is from RNAcentral. Lineage: Eukaryota; Euglenozoa; Kinetoplastea; Trypanosomatida; Trypanosomatidae.